RNAcentral lists this ribosomal RNA (253 nucleotides) under uncultured bacterium. Its description in RNAcentral is "partial 16S ribosomal RNA". It matches the Rfam family "Bacterial small subunit ribosomal RNA", at positions 524 to 776 of the family's 1533-position model. The record is from RNAcentral.
UACGGAGGGUGCAAGCGUUACUCGGAAUCACUGGGCGUAAAGGGCGCGUAGGCGGCCUAGCAAGUCUGGUGUGAAAGCCCAGGGCUCAACCCUGGAAGGGCACUGGAAACUGUUAGGCUUGAGUUCCGGAGAGGAGGGGGGAAUUCCCGGUGUAGCGGUGAAAUGCGUAGAUAUCGGCAGGAAGACCAAGGGGGAAGCCAGGGGGCUGGCCGCAGGCUGACGCUGAGGCGCGACAGCGUGGGGAGCAAACCGG